ACUCCUACGGGAGGCAGCAGUGGGGAAUAUUGGACAAUGGGCGCAAGCCUGAUCCAGCCAUGCCGCGUGUGUGAAGAAGGCUCUAGGGUUGUAAAGCACUUUCAGUGGGGAGGAUAAGUUAUCGGUUAAUACCUGGUAAUGCAGACGUUACCCACAGAAGAAGCACCGGCAAACUCCGUGCCAGCAGCCGCGGUAAUACGGAGGGGGUUAGCGUUGUUCGGAAUUACUGGGCGUAAAGCGCGCGUAGGCGGAUUGGAAAGUUGGGGGUGAAAUCCCGGGGCUCAACCCCGGAACGGCCUCCAAAACUCCCAGUCUUGAGUUCGAGAGAGGUGAGUGGAAUUCCGAGUGUAGAGGUGAAAUUCGUAGAUAUUCGGAGGAACACCAGUGGCGAAGGCGGCUCACUGGCUCGAUACUGACGCUGAGGUGCGAAAGCGUGGGGGAGCAAACAGGAUUAGAUACCCUGGUAGGUCAGUC
RNAcentral lists this ribosomal RNA (474 nucleotides) under uncultured bacterium. Its description in RNAcentral is "bacterial SSU rRNA". It matches the Rfam family "Bacterial small subunit ribosomal RNA", at positions 335 to 800 of the family's 1533-position model. The record is from RNAcentral.